AUACGGAGGGGGUUAGCGUUGUUGGGAAUUACUGGGCGUAAAGCGCACGUAGGCGGACUGGAAAGUUGGGGGUGAAAUCCCGGGGCUCAACCCCGGAACUGCCUCCAAAACUUCCAAUCUAGAGAUCGAGAGAGGUGAGUGGAAUUCCAAGUGUAGAGGUGAAAUUCGUAGAUAUUUGGAGGAACACCAGUGGCGAAGGCGGCUCACUGGCUCGAUACUGACGCUGAGGUGCGAAAGCGUGGGGAGCAAACAGGAUUAGAAACCCUAGUAGUCC
This 274-nucleotide ribosomal RNA is filed under the name uncultured bacterium. RNAcentral's name for it is "partial 16S ribosomal RNA". It matches the Rfam family "Bacterial small subunit ribosomal RNA", at positions 523 to 796 of the family's 1533-position model. The record is from RNAcentral.